AUUGACUGACGUAUUAGUAUAUUAUUGACAGACAUAUGACUAAAGUGAGUUAAGUUGACUGUUAGGACGUUGAGAGAAAGAACUUUAUGUUUUGAAGUAACUGAAAGAUGGAUUGAAUGGAAUGAGGGGAUAAAUUGUUAGAUUGUAUUGGGAUGUUUACCUUGUAGGUGUCCCACGGGAUCACCAAUUUAUUUUGCACCUUCGGGAGCAUUUGACUGAUAUGUGUUUCUGCAGAACACUAGACUGAUAUGUACGUCCCUCGGGGCGUUAGACUGAUAUGUACGUCCCUCGGGGCGUUAGACUGAGAUGUGUAUCCUACGGGAUCACAAGACUGCGACUGUACAGGGUGUCCCAAUAGAACUUUAACAAUUUAUUUUCCCCUGACGAGACCAGUAGAGGGUCUCUUACUGAGUAUUAUUAUACUCACCCUUCUUAUGUUUAAUUUUCAGGCAAAGGAAAUAAAGGUGGCAAACCGGCGAGGGGCAGCAAGGAAGCGUGAUUGCCAUAGGGAAUGUGUUAUUUUGCUUCCGCUUAUGAUUUCUUUUAAGGUUUAAGAUGUACUAAAACUUAGUUUACAAACUUUUAUUUGUAAAUAGGGUUAUUGUUAAGUUUUCUUGAAUAUUUGAAAAUCAGGCCUUACAUAAAUUGUUUUUAAAUUGACUUAUGUUUCAAUUUGUAUCAACCAAAGUCUUUUGUCAAAAAUUAACGAUCUCGACUUACCCAGAAAAGUUGGGUCGUUACAACUAAUAUGUAAUGUUGAGAUCAACUGAAUAUGUUUGUAAUGUAGGGACUUUGAUGAAAGAAUUGAAUAUUCAGGAAAUUGUAUGAAAAAAAAUGGUUGAAUGUUAAAUUGACUUAUGAAUAGUGUAUAUGAAACAAUACAUUAUAUAUUUUAUGAAUGAAAUGUUAUGCAAUCAAUUUGUUAAACUGGUUUAUUUAUUUUAUUUCAAAUAUUUAUUUUAUAUGUAAUAAAUAAUAAGUUAUGUUUGAAACAACAGUAUAAGGAUAUAUCAUAAUAUAUAUUGUUCAUUUAAGGUUAGUAAAAAUUUAUAUUUUGUAUUUGAAAUAUACUAUGAUAUACUGAGUACAUCAAAGAUGACAUCAUUUAUGUACUAUUGAAAAUAUGAAGUAGUAUAUAUAUGUAACAAAUCACAUAAGAUAUAUGUAUCAUGUACUAGUAUAUACGUCAUUAUUUAUAUAUACACACCUAAUGAAAAAAAGUAGAGUGUGUGGGACCCACGUAUAUAAAUAAUGAGAAAAUAAAAAAUGUUGGCCCAAUGUAAUAUAUAUAUAAAGUAAAAAAUAAACUAUGUAGGGUCCACUGCAUGAAAAUUGUGUAGGGGUACAAAAAUUCACCUCAACUCACCUAUUUUUGUCAAUAGUUUUGCAUUCACCUACUUUUGACAUAUGUUUCAAAAUUUACAUUAUUUUUUAAAAAAAGUUCUAUACAUAAUAAAUAAUAACUCGUGAUUGAAACAAGAGUGGUUAUGUGUAAUGCCCCAAAGGUAUAUAUAUAUAUAUAUAUAUAUUUUGUUUUUUAUUUUUAUAUAUAUAUUUAUUUAUUUAUAUUUAAUUUAAAUAAAAAGGAAAAAGAAAAAAUAAAGAAAGAAAGGAGAAAAAAAAAGAAAAAAUCUCUCUUUCUCUCUCCCUCGCGCGCCGCGACCCCCCCCCCGUUCUCUUCUCUUUUCCUUUCUCUUUUCUCUUCUCCCUUCCGUUUUCUUCCCGUCACAGCCCAGCCGCAACCGCCGCCGAUCCUUUCUCUUCCGUUCUCUUCCCGCCGCAGCUCAGCCGCCCCAUCCGUUUCCUUCUCUCCGUUCGUCGCGUGAACAUGUAACCGCCGGCUGUCUUCCCCUCUCCUUUCUCCUCUGUUCUCUGCCCAGCACCGCGUGACCCUCCGCCCAGCGCCGUGUGACCCUCUGCCCACCGCCCCGCGCGACCUCUGUCUCCGCGCGUUACCGUUACUACGACCAGAUCUGCGUCGUCGUGCCCCGUCCUAAAUCGUCUUUGUCUCCGUCGAAGUUUUGUUGGUAAGAUUAAAGUUAUGAAAUUGUAGUCGUUUCCAAAACAAUUUAAGUAUGGGUUAUGAUGUUUUCAAGGUGUUCAAACGUUACGGAUGGGUUAAUUGACUAAUUUGAUAAAUUAUUCUUGAAGGUGUGAAAGGUAACUUUGGGUCACUUAAAUUCACAACCAAUUUGUGAAUUGUUAAGGGUUCAGUUCGCCAGUAUUUCGGUAAGUUGGGGAAUUUACAUAUGGAGUAAUUUGAAAGGUUGAAACUAUUUAGAACGAUGUUUGAUUUUAUGAAUUGAAUUAUGUUUAGGAUUUGAUUCAUUGGAUUUAGUAGAUUGAAGAAUUUGCAUAGAAAUCGAGGUAAGGGAUUUUCUACUGGACUCAAUUGUGAUUGUGAACUGUGAUUGUGAACUGUAUGUGUGUUGAAUGUAUACUGGGGUUGACUGAAAAUAUAUAUGAAUGUAUAUAAAUUGAAGUAGACUUGACGUCGAAUGUAUGUCGUGAUUGUCAUGGAAUCUAUAUAUAAAUGUGUGUAUGUGGACAGGACGGAGAUUGUAGAUUGUGUUUGUAUGAGAUUCUCGUUUAGAUUGGGUGUAUGAUUACGCUAAAGUAUGACUGUGUGCUGGUGAACUGAGGGGUGCAUUGACUGUAUAGUGGAUUGACUGAUGUAUUAGCAUAUUAUUGACAGACAUAUGACUGUAGUAAAAUAAGUUAACUGUUAGGAUGUUGAAAGAAAGAACUUUGUGACUUGAAGUAACUGAAAGAUGGGUUGAAUGGAAUGAGGGGAUAAAUUGUUAGAUUGUAUUGGGAUGUUUACCUUGUAGGUGUCCCACGGGAUCACCAAUUUAUUGUGCACCUUCGGGAGCAUUUGACUGAUAUGUGUUUCUGCAGAACACUAGACUGAUAUGUACGUCCCUCGGGGCGUUAGACUGAGAUGUGUAUUCUACGGGAUCACAAGACUGCGACUGUACAUGGUGUUCCAAUAGAACUUUAACAAUUUAUUUUCCCCUGACGGGACCAGUAGAGGGUCUCUUACUGAGUAUUUAAAAUACUCACCCUUCUUAUGUUAAAUUUUCAGGCAAAGGUAAUAAAGGCAACAAACAGGCGAGGGGCAGGAAGGAAGCGUGAUGCCAUAGGAAACGUGUUUUUGCUUCCGCUUAUGGGUUCUUGUGAGGUUUAAAAUGAAUUGAAAUUUAGUUUACAAACGUUGGUUGUAAAUAGUAUUAUUUUAUGUUUUCUUGAAUGUUUAAAAAUCAGGCCUGACUUAAAGAUGUUUUGUUUUUAAAUUGCUUACGUUUUGUUUUAUAUUAAUCAAAGUCUUUAUUUGUUAAAAAUUAACGAUCUCGACGUACUUAGAAAAGUUGGGUUGUUACAGUUGGUAUCAGAGCCUAAGUUUUAGGUUCUGUAGACUGACUUACGAUGUAAGUCUAUGUUUUUGUGUCCCUAUGGCUAACGCGACCCUUCGUCUCUCGUCAGGUAUGCUUUAUGCUUAUAUGUAUGGUUUAUGUAUAUGACCUUGCCUAAGUUAAACUAGAAUUACAUGAAUGUUAUGAUUCAACAAGUUAAAGUAGUUGCUUGUGCUCCUCGUCAGUUGAAGAGUCAUGAGGAAAAUUAUACAACUUAUGAUAUGGAAUUGACAGUUGUGGUUUUUACAUUAAUGAUUUGAAGGCACUAUUUGUAUGAUGAAAAGAUAUAGAUAUUUUCUAACCAAAAGAGUAUAAAAUACUUCUUCACUCAAAAGAAGUUGAGUAUGAGAUAGCAAAGAUGGUUUCAGUUAGUAAAUGACUAUGAUUGUGAGAUUUUGUACCAUCUAGGUAAGGCGAAUGUGGAAGUUGGUGCUCUUCGUAGAAAAGUAUCACAUUUUGACAGCACUUAUUACCAGACAGGUUUCAUUAGACAAAAACCACGAGAGAGCUGAGAUUGUAGUUUUAGUGGGAGAAGUCACCUCACAGUUAGCUCAGUUGUCAGUACAUCCGAUCUUGAGACAAAGAAUUCUUGUGGUUCAAUUCAUUGAUCCUUAUUUGAUUGAGAAGCAUCGCCUAGUAGAAGUAGGGCAAGUUAAGGAGUUUUCCAUAUCCUUUGAUGAUGAACUUAUGUUUGAGAGAGAAUUAUGUGUGCCAACAGAAAAAGCAAUUAAGACAAGGUUAUUGGUUGAGACUCAUAGUUUCCCAUUUCUCAUGCAUCCAAGUAGCACAAAAAUGUAUCCGUAUCUGAAAAGAGUUUGUUACUAGCGUAAUAUGAAGAGAGAAAUGGAAGAUCUUGUUAGUAAGUGCUUAGUAUGUCAGCAAGUUAAGGCACCUAGACAGAAACCAGCAGGUUUGUUACAACCUUUAAGUGUGCCAGAGUGGAAGUGGGAGAAUGUGUCGAUGAAUUUUAUUUCAGGGCUGCCUAAGACCCUGAAGGGUUUCACAGUGAUUUUGGUUGUCAUAGACAGGCUUACGAAAUCGGCACAUUUUGUACCAGGGAAAUCCACUUAUACUGCUAGUAAUUGGGCAGAGUUGUAUUUAACUGAGAUUGUGAGACUGCAUGGAGUGCCUGUAUCGAUUGUUUCUGAUAGGGAUGCACGGUUUACUUCCAAGUUUUGGAAGGGACUUCAGACUGCUAUGGGUACGAGAUUGGAUUUUAGUACAGCCUUUCAUCCACAGACUGAUGGUCAAACUGAACGUUUGAACCAAGUUUUAGAGGAUAUGCUACGAGCUUGUGUUAUAGAGUUUCCAGGUAGUUGGGACUUUCAUCUACAUUUGAUGGAGUUUUCUUAUAACAACAGUUUCCAGGUUACCAUCGGUAUGACACCAUUUGAGGCUUUGUAUGGCAAAUGUUGUAGAACCCCUGUUUGUUGGGGUGAGGUUGGUGAACAUAGGUUGAUGGGACCUGAAUUAGUUCGGUCUACUAAUGAGGCUAUUCAAAAGAUUAGAGCACGUAUGCAAACAGCGCAGAGUAGACAGAAGAGUUAUGCGGAUGUACGGCGAAAAGACCUUAAGUUCGAUGUGGGAGAAAAGGUAUUCUUGAAGGUAGCACCUAUGAAGGGUGUUAUGCGUUUUGAGAAGAAAGGAAAGUUAAGUCCUCGUUUUGUUGGACCAUUUGAGAUCUUAGAGACGGUUGGUGUUGUGGCGUAUCGCUUGGCAUUACCACCAUCUCUCUCUGAAGUCCAUAAUGUUUUCCAUGUUUCGAUGUUGAGGAAGUAUAUGGCCGAUACAUCUCAUGUAGUAGACUAUGAACCCUUGGAGAUUGAUGAGCGUUUGAGCUAUGUAGAACAACCUGUGGAGAUUCUGGCUAGAGAGGUAAAGACGCUUCGUAAUAGAAGUAUUCCAUUAGUAAAGGUUUUGUGGCGGAACCAUCGAAUUGAAGAGGCGACAUGGGAGCGAGAGGAAGAGAUGAGGACUCGUUAUCCAGAGUUAUUUCAGGAUUAGAACUUUCGAGGACGAAAGUUUCUUAAGGAGGGAAGAAUGUAACGCCCCAAACUUGAAGGUAAAUUAUUUUGAGAGAAUUAUUUCGAUUUGUUCAAGAUUUUUUUUAAAAAUAUGUUGAAGGGGAGAAAGAAGAUUUGAAAAUGUAUUAAUAUAAUUAAAUAUAUAUAUGUAUUUAAUUAUAUUUUUAUUAUUAUAUAUAUUUUACAUUUUAUUAAAUAAAAGAAAAGAAAAUGAAAAAAAAAAUUUACUUUCUUCUUCCUCCCGUACGCCCAUCCCUUCCGUUCUCUCCGUUCGCGCAGCAACCGCCGUCGGCCAUCUCCGUUCCUCUUCUCCUUCCGUUCGUGCCCAGCCGCAGCCCAGCCGCCGAUCCUUUCCCUUCCGUUUCCUUCCCGCCGCAGCCUAGCCGCAGCCAGCCGCCGGUCCCUUCCUUCCAUUUUCUUCUUCCGUCUGCAGCCCCGCCGCGAAGCAAGACCGUGCCGCUGCCAGUCCAGAUCUGCGUUGCAGUUGUCCCGCGCGCCGAUCUGCCGUCUCCAUCUCCGUUCGCGAAGCAAAAUUGCCGCCGCUCGCCGAACCCAACCGCCACCCUCUCUUUUCUCCUUCGGAUCGAAACCGCCGUCCAGAUCUGCAUCACAACUGCCGCUCGUAACCGUCGGCCGGUUCGUGAAGCCAGCUGCGCAACCUUCGUUCCAACCGCUGCACUGCCGCGCGAUUCUCCAGCCACGUCUUCUUUAGCCGACCGCUGACCGACCCACACUUAGGAUUUUGCUGCGAGUCGACAGUCGUGCGUUGAGGUGUUGGGAGUAACCUUGGGCUCCCUUAAAUUCACAACAAAUUUGUGAAUUGUUGAGGGUUCAGUUCGCCAGUAUUUCGGUAAGUUGUGGAAUUUACAUAUGGAGUAAUUUGAAAGGUUGAAACUAUUUAGAACGAUGUUGAUUUUAUGAUUGAUUAUGUUUAGGAUUUGAUUCAUUGGAUUUAGUAGAUUGAAGAAUUUGCAUAGAAAUCGAGGUAAGGGAUUUUCUACUGGACUCACUUAUGAUUGUGAAUUGUAUGUCUGUAUGAUUAUCUCUGACUGAGUAAAGAUGAUGAGAUGAUAUAUAUAUACACACGUAUGGAUGUAGAUUCGGUGUUGAAUGUAUAUUGUGGAUUGACUGAAAAUAUAUAUAUGCAUAUGAAUUGAAGUAGACUUAAUGUUGAAUGCAUAUUGUGAUUGUCAUGGAAUAUAUAUAUGUGUGUGGAUGUGGACAGGACGAAAAUUGUAGAUUGUGCUUGUAUGAGAUGCAGAUGCGAUCUUGUGAUUGUCGUUUAGAUUGGGUGUACGUUACGCUAAAGUAUGACUGUGUGCUGGUGAUCUGAGGGGUGUAUUGACUGUAUAGUUUGAUUGAUUGACGUAUUAGUAUAUUAUUGACAGACAUAUGACUAAAGUGAGAUAAGUUGACUGUUAGGACGUUGAGAGAAAGAACUCUAUGUUUUGAAGUAACUAAAAGAUGGAUUGAAUGGAAUGAGGGGAUAAAUUGUUAGAUUGUAUUGGGAUGUUUACCUUGUAGGUGUCUCACUGGAUCACCAAUUUAUUUUGCACCUUCGGGAGCAUUUGACUGAUAUGUGUUUCUGCAGAACACUAGACUGAUAUGUACGUCCCUCGGGGCGUUAGACUGAGAUGUGUAUCCUACGGGAUCACAAGACUGCGACUGUACAGGGUGUCCCAAUAGAACUUUAACAAUUUAUUUUCCCC
This 7146-nucleotide long non-coding RNA is filed under the name Cucumis sativus (cucumber). RNAcentral describes it as "long non-coding RNA (CSAT_LNC000230)". Lineage: Eukaryota; Viridiplantae; Streptophyta; Magnoliopsida; Cucurbitales; Cucurbitaceae. The record is from RNAcentral.